Molecule: long non-coding RNA, 1207 nt
Organism: Vigna umbellata (rice bean)
Lineage: Eukaryota; Viridiplantae; Streptophyta; Magnoliopsida; Fabales; Fabaceae
Source: RefSeq, a predicted model, not a curated record
UCCAAGCCCCAAGGGCUAACCCGGGCCCUUUCUAUAUUUAGCCCCAUUUUUGGUUGACCCACAUCUUGGGGGCUUCUUUAAAGCUCCUGGUCCCCCAAAACCCAUCCAAGUGGGUUGUGAAUGAAGCAGGGCCGGGUUAGCCCUCUAGUCCCAAAACAUUAUUUUUGAUGCAUUUUCUUCUGAACAACCACUCCAUUGAGUAUUUGACGACCUCCCCUCAGUCUCGCCGCCCCACCCUUCGUCUCCUCCCGCCAUGCUGAACCCCGGAGGAAACCUCCGCCCUCAUCGACGCCUACCGCGACAAGUGGUCCUCCCUCGGUCGCACCAACCUCAAAGCCACCCACGGGUAAGAGGUCGCCGAUUCCCCCACUGCCAAAACCGUCGUCCAGUGCCGCCAAAAAAUGGAAAAACUCCGCAAACGCUACCGCACCGAAAUCCAACGCCUCCGCUCCCUCCCUCUCCCUGGCCUCAUCACCAACUCCACCAUCGCUUCACCCUCCUCCUGGGUUCACUUCAAAUCUGUGGAUUCCAUGGAAAAAGGCCUCAACAAACCCCACACCGACACCACCACCGCCACUACCACCAACCCCAACACCCCCACCAACAACCUCAAUUUCCCCGACGGAUUCCAACUCAAUCUCUAACACAAUCUAAUCUCGUGGGUUCAUCUUUAACGCAAUCUAAUCUCGUGGCUCCAUCCUCUCCUAGAUCUACUCCCUAACCGGCUGUAGUAAGUUGUGGCUAGCCUUCCCCUUGAGCUCCUUGGCGAUGUUAUUAAUAGAAUAGAAGCAAAUGAGAGUACAUGGCCUGCUCGUAAGCAUGUCGUUGCAUGUGCUGCCGUGUGCAAGUCCCGGAGAGAAAUGUGCAAAGAAAUUGUUAGCCGUCUGGAAUUUUGUGGGAAGAUCAUUUUCCCUAUUGGCCUGAAGUAGCCUAGGCAUAGGAAUGGAACCAUCCAGUGUUUCAUCAAGAGAGACAAAUCUAAGCUGACAUACCAUCCAAUCCUGCCUUGCUUAUUGUAAAUGGAAAGUUUCUUCUCUCUGCCAAAAGGACCAGAAGAACAACUUGCAUGGAGUAUAUUAUAUCAAUGGAUGCAGAUAACAUAUUGAGAUCUAGUAGUACGUACAUUGGAAGUAUAAACUAAGCUCCAGGAAGUAUAUUACAAUAUAUGUAUUUACCAAUUGCUGUAUAAAAUUUUUGUUUCUUUCUA